Molecule: ribosomal RNA, 495 nt
Filed under: uncultured bacterium
Lineage: Bacteria
Description: partial 16S ribosomal RNA
Rfam family: Bacterial small subunit ribosomal RNA
Source: RNAcentral
UGGGGAAUAUUGCACAAUGGGCGAAAGCCUGAUGCAGCAACGCCGCGUGAGUGAUGAAGGUCUUCGGAUUGUAAAGCUCUGUCUUUUGGGACGAUAAUGACGGUACCAAAGGAGGAAGCCACGGCUAACUACGUGCCAGCAGCCGCGGUAAUACGUAGGUGGCGAGCGUUGUCCGGAUUUACUGGGCGUAAAGGGUGCGUAGGCGGAUGUUUAAGUGAGAUGUGAAAUACCCGGGCUUAACUUGGGUGCUGCAUUUCAAACUGGAUAUCUAGAGUGCAGGAGGGGAGAAUGGAAUUCCUAGUGUAGCAGUGAAAUGCGUAGAGAUUAGGAAGAACACCAGUGGCGAAGGCGAUUCUCUGGACUGUAACUGACGCUGAGGCACGAAAGCGUGGGUAGCAAACAGGAUUAGAUACCCUGGUAGUCCACGCCGUAAACGAUGAGUACUAGGUGUAGGAGGUAUCGACCCCUUCUGUGCCGCAGUAAACACAUUCAAGU